This 254-nucleotide ribosomal RNA is filed under the name uncultured bacterium. RNAcentral's name for it is "partial 16S ribosomal RNA". It matches the Rfam family "Archaeal small subunit ribosomal RNA", at positions 474 to 727 of the family's 1478-position model. The record is from RNAcentral.
CACCAGCGCCACGAGUGGCAACCGCGAUUAUUGGGCCUAAAGCGUCCGUAGCCGGCAGAGUGCAUCUUCUGUGAAAUCGCUGCGCUCAACGUAGCGGCAUGCGGAAGACACGACUCUGCUUGAGACCGGAAGGCGUGAAGAGUAUUCCUGGGGGACCGGUAAAAUGGUAUAAUCCCAGGAGGACUACCUGUGGCGAAGGCGCUUCACGAGUACGGAUCUGACGAUGAGGGACGAAAGCCAGGGGAGCAAACCGG